This 460-nucleotide ribosomal RNA is filed under the name uncultured bacterium. RNAcentral describes it as "bacterial SSU rRNA". It matches the Rfam family "Bacterial small subunit ribosomal RNA", at positions 340 to 789 of the family's 1533-position model. The record is from RNAcentral.
UACGGAAGGCAGCAGUGGGGAAUAUUGCACAAUGGGCGAAAGCCUGAUGCAGCUAUGCCGUGUGUAUGAAGAAGGCCUUAGGGUUGUAAAGUACUUUCAUCGGGGAGGAAAAAACAAAACUAAUAAUUUUAUUUCUUGACGUUACCCGAAAAAGAAGCACCGGCUAACUCCGUGCCAGCAGCCGCGGUAAUACGGAGGGUGCUAGCGUUAAUCAGAAUUACUGGGCGUAAAGAGCACGUAGGUGGUUUUUUUAAAGUCAGAUGUGAAAUCCCUGGGCUUAACCUAGGAACUGCAUUUUGAAACUGAAAUACUAGAGUAUCGUAGAGGGAGGUAGAAUUCUAGGUGUAGCGGUGAAAUGCGUAGAUAUCUGGAGGAAUACCUGUGGCGAAAGCGGCCUCCUAAACGAAUACUGACACUGAGGUGCGAAAGCGUGGGGAGCAAACAGGGAUUAGAUACCCGU